RNAcentral lists this small RNA (254 nucleotides) under Pongo abelii (Sumatran orangutan). The record is from RNAcentral. Lineage: Eukaryota; Metazoa; Chordata; Mammalia; Primates; Hominidae.
GCCAGGCACAGUGGCUCAUGCCUGUAAUCCCAGCACUUUGGGAGGCUAAGGCAGGUGGAUCACCUGAGGUCAGGAGUUCGAGACCAGCCUGGCCAACAUAGUGAAACCCUGUCUUUACUAAAAAUAAAAAAAAAUUAGCCCGGGUGCGGUGGCUCACUCCUGUAAUCCCAGAACUUUGGGAGGCCGAGGCGGGUGGAUCACCUGAGGUCAGGAGUUCGAGACCAGCCUGACUAAGAUGGUGAAACCCUGUCUCU